Molecule: transfer RNA, 72 nt
Filed under: Thermoplasmata archaeon
Lineage: Archaea; Methanobacteriati; Thermoplasmatota; Thermoplasmata
Description: tRNA-Ala
Rfam family: tRNA
About the family: Transfer RNA (tRNA) molecules are approximately 80 nucleotides in length. Their secondary structure includes four short double-helical elements and three loops (D, anti-codon, and T loops). Further hydrogen bonds mediate the characteristic L-shaped molecular structure. tRNAs have two regions of fundamental functional importance: the anti-codon, which is responsible for specific mRNA codon recognition, and the 3' end, to which the tRNAs corresponding amino acid is attached (by aminoacyl-tRNA synthetases). tRNAs cope with the degeneracy of the genetic code in two manners: having more than one tRNA (with a specific anti-codon) for a particular amino acid; and 'wobble' base-pairing, i.e. permitting non-standard base-pairing at the 3rd anti-codon position.
Source: RNAcentral
GGGCCGGUAGAUCAGCGGAAGAUCGCUACCUUGGCAAGGUAGAGGCCGCGAGUUCAAAUCUCGCCCGGUCCA